GACUAGGAGAAAGUGACAAUAAUUUACACAAAAUACUGAAUGCUUGCAUCGCAGCCCAACCAUUAGGAUGAAGCUGAGUAGGAGCAACAUUAAGAAAAUUAAGAACGCCCAUUUGAAAAUUGUUCAAAGGCAAUCGAAUAUGAAGAUCUCUGAAAAAGCAAGCAUAAAAAUAAAAAAAUUCAUAGCUAUCAUCUUCUCGGCCAUGACACACAUUAUCAACAUCACCAACACGCCGAAAUGAAAUGAUAUCAUUUUCAAUAUCAGAAUAAUAAAUUUGAGAACGGGAAAGAAAACUCCGAAGUUCGUUAGCAGAACGAUACUUCGAGAAAUACUCUCGGACUUUAGGAUU
RNAcentral lists this long non-coding RNA (349 nucleotides) under Phaseolus vulgaris (common bean). RNAcentral describes it as "long non-coding RNA (PVUL_LNC001163)". The record is from RNAcentral. Lineage: Eukaryota; Viridiplantae; Streptophyta; Magnoliopsida; Fabales; Fabaceae.